Molecule: long non-coding RNA, 931 nt
Organism: Corvus hawaiiensis (hawaiian crow)
Lineage: Eukaryota; Metazoa; Chordata; Aves; Passeriformes; Corvidae
Exons: 2
Source: RefSeq, a predicted model, not a curated record
GCGGCCGUGAGGGGCGGGGGGGCGAGGUGUCCCCGGCCGCCUCCGCUCGGCCCUCGGGCAGCGCGGACGGGCUGUCCUCAGCGCGGCGCUGGAGGCCCUGGGCGCUUCCCUGCGGGCAGUGCCCUGCGGGCGCCUGCGGGUCCCUCUACCAGAGAAAGGCUUUGUAUUCCUGAGGGACGACACCGGCAUUCCCCACUCCCCCCCACCCCCAGAGCUGGGGCGGCCGCUCGGUGCUGCGCGGCGGGGCCGUGUCGCAGCGAGUGACCCGCUUUGUGAGGCGAAGCCUCGCACGGAGAUUGACGGGCUGAGUGGUUGAGGAAAUCCAUCCUUCGGAUUUCAUCAGCAUCCCCCCGCCAGCCCCUGGCUGUACGUGCGCUCCCGCAAGGAUAACAUAACCAGGGUGAUAAAAGCUUUCUGAAAACACUACAGCUGCUGAUAAUGGAAGCUAUUCUGAAAUGUUAAGAAAGGAAAGACACAAAAGUAGAUGGGAGUCCACCUGGUUUCCUUGUGAUUCAGACAGACUGAAGCAAGGCUGAGGACUGUAUCCCCUCAAAAACCAGGUGGGGCAAUAUGCAACAUUUACACCAAAACUGAAGUUUUAAAACAAACUAGAAAACAGUGGAAAGAAGCCUAAUUUCCUACAGGAAGAACACAGCAAAGAAAGAACAUUUGUGAUGGAUUGUCUGUCCUUCUCUGUCGAACCCGAGGGAUACAGAAUUUGGCAUACAGUCAUGGACUGAGAGGCAGCAACAGCAGAUGGAUCACCUUGGCCACGUGGCAGUUGCCUUGUCCUUGCUUGCAGUGAGAGCCUCGUGGUGCAAGAAUAGAAUGUUCCUGUCAAUCCAGCAGAUGUGCUAGCGUGUCCUCCAUUUGAUUAGGCUUAGGAAUGCUAUUUUCUCCCCACAUCCAUAAAUUACUUAUUUCCAUGAAA